This 627-nucleotide ribosomal RNA is filed under the name Odontella sp. 2BOF. RNAcentral's name for it is "eukaryotic LSU rRNA". It matches the Rfam family "Eukaryotic large subunit ribosomal RNA", at positions 364 to 1006 of the family's 3401-position model. The record is from RNAcentral. Lineage: Eukaryota; Bacillariophyta; Thalassiosirophyceae; Eupodiscales; Odontellaceae.
AUGCAAAGAACUUUGAAAAGAGAGUUAAAGAGUACCUGAAAUUGCUGAAAUGGAAGCGAAGGAAACCAGUGCCACAGGCAGGUCAUAUUUCCUCCGCCGCUUGCGGUGGGGGCGCUGUGUCUUGUCGCCGGCCAGCAUGGGUUCUCUUCGGGGCAAGUGGCCGUUCGGGAGGUAGCCCCCUCGUGGGGUGUUCUAACCGGGCGGUUCUGUCCUGGGGGGGAUCGAGGAUAGUCGCGCAAGCGCUCGUGAUGCUGGCAAAAUGGUUUUCUUUACCCCGUCUUGAAACACGGACCAAGGAGUUUAACAUGUAUGCGAGUAAAAGGGUGGCAAACCCCAAUGCGAAAUGAAAGUAUCAGAGACGCUAACCUUCGGGUGCACCGUCCGCCGGCCACAACCCUUCGGGGGAAAGGUCUGAGUGUGAGCAUACAUGUUGAGACCCGAAAGAUGGUGAGCUAUGCCUGAGUAGGGUGAAGCCAGGGGAAACUCUGGUGGAAGCUCGUAGCGAUUCUGACGUGCAAAUCGAUCGUCAAACUUGGGUAUAGGGGCGAAAGACUAAUCGAACCAUCUAGUAGCUGGUUCCCUCCGAAAUUUCCCUCAGGAUAGCUGCGACCGAGGAUAAUUUUAUCA